RNAcentral lists this long non-coding RNA (2256 nucleotides) under Marmota monax (woodchuck). Lineage: Eukaryota; Metazoa; Chordata; Mammalia; Rodentia; Sciuridae. The record is from RNAcentral.
AAUUACCUUCUGAACUGGCUUUUAAAAGUGAGAAAAAGACUUGUAUAUUGCUCACAAAGGGCUAUGAGGAAUUAUGUUUUGUUUUCUGUAGGUAUAAUAUGAAUUUUCAUUUUUUUCCCUUCCAUAGGUAAUUCUAAAGAAGAGCAGAGGUUAAAAGUCAAGGAACGUGUUCUUGAAAAUUACAUGAUAUGCUGUUUUAGGUGGUAACAAGUCAUUAACAUAUUUUUAUGUAUGGAUUUAUUCUUGGGUUAUUAAAAUAUUGGCUAGAUGGGGAAUGUCUGUUUUUUUGCUGGCAUUGAAAUAUCUCAAACACAAAGGACUAUUUUACAUUUUUUAAAAAUCUAUUUUAAGAGAACCCUAGUUCUUUUUACUUGUUUUGUUCUUAUAAAUGUUUUAACUAUCAAACAUGAAAUCUGACUGUUUUAAGUGGCUUGAAGAGAUGCACUUCAUACAAUUAAGUUUAUAUAUUUAGAUUUAACCACAACUGUGCAACAAAUUUAAUUUCUACAGAAGGACAAUAUGGAGUCAGAUCUAGGUACAUUUUAAAUGUGUUUUUCCCCCCAGUGCUUUCACAAAGCAAUACAGUCUACUUUUUUGUUAUGUCAAUAGUAACAAUAUAAUUAUCUGAAAGAUUGUAAACAUCACUUGGGUUUUUUCAAAACACAUCUCCUUCUCCAAACCAAAAAUAGAAAUUCUGGAUCAAAUUGAGUUAUUUUCUUCAAAUUGUGUGGAUUUAGUAGAUGGGAUAUUUCCUCCUCUAAAAUCAUUUAGAAGUUUAUUGCAUAUCAUCCAAUAGUGGUUAUUAUUAUUUAACUUUUUGAGCUCAUUAUAGAUUCCAACUUGAAGCUACAAAGGUGUAGUACAAAGAGGACCCAUGUAUUCUACACCCAGUUUUCCCAAUGGUUAUGUCUUACAUACUGACAGUAUAUCAGAACCAGGAAUUUUUUUUACAAGUAGUGUGUUUAUAAUUCUACACCAUUUUAUCAUGUGUAGAUUCAUAUAACUACUACCAUAAUCAAUAUAUAGAACUAUGUCAUUACCACAAAAUCUUCCUGAUGCUGUUCUUUUAUAGUUACACCUGGCCCACCAUGUCUUCCACCCUGGCAAACAUCCCUAACUCCUGGCAAGUACUAACUGUUCUUCAUCUCUGCAAUUUUGUAAUUUUGUGUCAUAUAAAUGAAAUUACAUAAGAGAUGAUCUUUGGAGAGGUUUUUUUUUUUUUUUUUUUAACUCAGUAUAGUGAUUCAUUCAUUGAAGUUGUCACAUUUUGGUGGUUCCUCUGUGUUCCCAAGCGAUUUUUCAUGGUGUGAGUAUAUCACAGUUUUAACUGUUUACUUAUUGAUCGGUAUUCCGUUUUUUUUCCCCCCAGUUUUGGGCUAUUAAAAAUAAAAUUGUUAUGAACAAUUGUACAGUUUUUAUACAUGUAUCAAUUUUCAUGUCUCUGGGAUAAAUGCCUGGCAAUUUGAUUGCUGGGUCAAAUGGUAAAUAUAUGUUUAACUUUUAGAAAAGAAAUCACCAAACUAUUUAGAAUGGCUGUAUCAUUUUAUAUUUCUAUUAAUAGUAUAUAGAAGAUCACUGUCUUUAAGUUCUCAUAAACAUUUACUAUUGUUAAUUUUUUAAAUUUUAGUUAUUCUUACAAUUUUAAUUUGCAGUUUUGUAAUGGCUUAUACUCGUUUUAGUUGCGCUGCUGAAACAAAGUAGUAUAAAGUGAGCAGCUUAUAAACAACAAAUUUACUUCUCAGUUCUCAUUGUUGGAAGUCUGAGAUCAGUGUGUCACCAUGCCUAAAUUAACACUUGUGUUCUGGUUUUCUUAGAGUUUUGAAAUAUUUUGAAAAGUUCUCAACAUAAAGUUGCUUCUUCAUUAGUUUUUGUUUAGAUGAGAUGCCCCCCACUGGCCAAAGCUCCUGUUAAUGCAGGAAUAUGCCGAGGUCAAAUGUUUAAAUUAUGAGAGCUGUAAACUGAUCAGUCCAUCCUAGUUUCAGUGGACUGUUAACUGGGUGGAAGAAGUGUGUGUGUGGAUGCUUUGAAAGGGUUGUUCUUGCUGUGGCCCCUUCUUCCCCCAUUACCCCCCUCUCUCUCUCCCUGCUUCCUGAUCCUGCCAUGAGCUGGGUAGCUUUCUCCCACACAACCCUUCCCCCAUGAUGUGCUACCUCACCUUGGGCCCAGAUCAGUGUAAUCAGCUAUCUAUGGACUGAGAUCUCUGAAACUAUGAACCCCAAAUAAACUUUUCCUACUCUUUUAAGUUUUUCUUGUGGA